GAGAUUGUUAAGAAGGAAACUAACAACAGCUUAGACUGAAAUAUAGAUCUAUAAAUCUUAAAGAAUAAGACAGCAAUUCAGAGCAGGGUGAAGUCAGACUCCAGAGACUGGAUCCAAAGAACAAAUACAGUGUAUGUGUGUGUGUGUGUGUGUGUGUGUGUGUGUGUGUGAGAGAGAGAGAGAGAGAGAGAGAGAGAGAGAGAGAAGCAAAGGCAAGAAGUUCAGAUUAUCCCAAAAAAGUUUUGUUGUUUAAAAGUAUAAACUGAUAAGAACAAAUUAAUUCAAGAGGAUUUUUUUUGUUAUCAUAGCCAAUAGAAGCUCGCCUGGACUGUUUACUAAAGAUCAGGAAGCGUACCAUGAGAGCCAAGAGGAUUCUGGUGUUCUUAAAGAGCAGAGUCAAAGAAGCUAUUACAGGUGAGAAGGCUUAAUUCAAAACAUAGAAGUCUUGUCCAAAUGCAGAAAACGAAAAGCAUAGUGGCCAGAUACAAAACUGGACAGGGCUAGUUGUGCAGAAGAGGAAAUUCCAACAGGUGCUGCUGCUACACUUGCUGAGAUUCCCACUUCUGUUAAAGGUACGGGAGUCCACUCCCCUCUAAGCUAGGCUUAACUUUAAUAUAUUGGUCUCUGGCAGAAAAGCAGACUGAAAGUAUCUAAUGGUCCAUCAGGCUAUUUUGGGACUAUGCAGACUUUUGAAUAGACGUAGCAGAAAUAAAUGAAAUCUGUAUAGGCUGAAGAAUAAAGAGGUAUCUAGACAUCUAAACAUCAUAGCUUAUUUUAGCAGGUGAACUUGAUUCUUAAAGUCAGAAAGGAAUUUUGCAUUUUAAAAUGGCUGUGAACAUAUGGUACUGCCUUACACAGAGUCACAUCAUGGAUCCAUCUAUCUGGAAACUGCCUACUCUGAUUGGCAUCAGCUACUAGUUUCUCAGGCGGAGGAGGGUCUUUCCCCAGGACCUACGACCUGAGAUUCUUUUAACCUGCCCAGGAUUGAACGUGAGACCCUCUGCAUCAAAGCAUGUACUUUGCCACUGGCCCUCUACCUAAAGGCAACACCGUUGUUAGCA
This is a non-coding RNA of Podarcis lilfordi (Lilford's wall lizard), 1061 nucleotides long. The record is from the annotation of a GenBank genome assembly. NCBI's taxonomy places the organism in Eukaryota, Metazoa, Chordata, Lepidosauria, Squamata, Lacertidae.